RNAcentral lists this ribosomal RNA (474 nucleotides) under uncultured bacterium. RNAcentral's name for it is "bacterial SSU rRNA". It matches the Rfam family "Bacterial small subunit ribosomal RNA", at positions 28 to 502 of the family's 1533-position model. The record is from RNAcentral.
GACGAACGCUGGCGGCGUGCUUAAUACAUGCAAGUCAACUGAACUUGAAGUAGCAAUAUUUCAAGGGAGGUGGCGCACGGGUGAGUAACACGUAGGUAAUCUGCCUUUAGGUCUGACAUAAUUCCGCGAAAGCGGGACUAACUUCAGAUGAUGCAGCGGCUCGACAUCGAGACAGUUGUUAAAUCUUCGGAGCCUAAAGAUGAGCCUGCGUCUGAUUAGGUAGUUGGCGGAGUAAAAGCCCACCAAGCCUGCGAUCAGUAGCUGGUCUGAGAGGAUGAUCAGCCACACUGGAACUGAGACACGGUCCAGACUCCUACGGGAGGCAGCAGUAAGGAAUAUUGCUCAAUGGCCGAAAGGCUGAAGCAGCAACGCCGCGUGGAGGACGAAAUACUUUUGUAUGUAAACUCCUGUAAGAGGGAAAAUAUUCCGAUUUAUCGGGAUUGAUUGUACCUUCAGAGUAAGCCCCGGCUAACU